RNAcentral lists this transfer RNA (73 nucleotides) under Camelus bactrianus (Bactrian camel). It matches the Rfam family "tRNA". Rfam says of the family: Transfer RNA (tRNA) molecules are approximately 80 nucleotides in length. The record is from Rfam by way of RNAcentral. Lineage: Eukaryota; Metazoa; Chordata; Mammalia; Artiodactyla; Camelidae. RNAcentral also lists the same sequence under 2 other names.
GAGGGCAUAGCUCAAGUGGCAGAGUGCAUGCUUAGCAUGCACGAGGUCCUGGGUUCAAUCCCCAGUACCUCCU